RNAcentral lists this ribosomal RNA (395 nucleotides) under uncultured bacterium. RNAcentral describes it as "partial 16S ribosomal RNA". It matches the Rfam family "Bacterial small subunit ribosomal RNA", at positions 361 to 773 of the family's 1533-position model. The record is from RNAcentral.
AUAUUGCACAAUGGAGGGAACACUGAUGCAGCGACGCCGCGUGAAGGAAGAAGGUUUUCGGAUCGUAAACUUCUAUCAGCAGGGAAGAAAAUGACGGUACCUGACUAAGAAGCCCAGGCUAACUACGCUCCAGUCGCCGCGGUAAUCCGUAGGGGGCAAGCGUUAUCCGGAAUUAAUGGGUGUAAAGGGUGCGUAGGCAGUAAUGAAAGUUAGGUGUGAAAGCCCGAAGCUCAACUUCGGGAUUGAACUUGAAACUUCAUAACUAGAGUACAGGAGAGGUGAGUGGAAUUCCUAGUGUAGCGGUGAAAUGCGUAGAUAUUAGGAGGAACACCAGUGGCGAAGGCGACUCACUGGACUGUAACUGACGCUGAGGCACGAAAGCGUGGGUAGCGAAC